Molecule: ribosomal RNA, 253 nt
Filed under: uncultured bacterium
Lineage: Bacteria
Description: partial 16S ribosomal RNA
Rfam family: Bacterial small subunit ribosomal RNA
Source: RNAcentral
CACGUAGGCACCAAGCGUUGUCCGGAUUUAUUGGGCGUAAAGGGCUCGUAGGCGGUCUGUUGCGUCAGGAGUGAAAACUCGGGGCUUAACCCCGAGCCUGCUUCUGAUACGGGCAGACUAGAGGUAUGCAGGGGAGAACGGAAUUCCUGGUGUAGCGGUGAAAUGCGCAGAUAUCAGGAGGAACACCGGUGGCGAAGGCGGUUCUCUGGGCCGAUAUUGACGCUGAGGAGCGAAAGCGUGGGGAGCAAACAGG